AGAGUUUGAUCCUGGCUCAGAUUGAACGCUGGCGGCAUGCCUUACACAUGCAAGUCGAACGGUAACAGGUUAAGCUGACGAGUGGCGAACGGGUGAGUAAUAUAUCGGAACGUGCCCAGUCGUGGGGGAUAACUGCUCGAAAGAGCAGCUAAUACCGCAUACGACCUGAGGGUGAAAGCGGGGGAUCGCAAGACCUCGCGCGAUUGGAGCGGCCGAUAUCAGAUUAGGUAGUUGGUGGGGUAAAAGCUCACCAAGCCAACGAUCUGUAGCUGGUCUGAGAGGACGACCAGCCACACUGGGACUGAGACACGGCCCAGACUCCUACGGGAGGCAGCAGUGGGGAAUUUUGGACAAUGGACGCAAGUCUGAUCCAGCCAUGCCGCGUGCGGGAAGAAGGCCUUCGGGUUGUAAACCGCUUUUGUCAGGGAAGAAACGGCUUUUUCUAAUACAGAGAGCUAAUGACGGUACCUGAAGAAUAAGCACCGGCUAACUACGUGCCAGCAGCCGCGGUAAUAC
This 516-nucleotide ribosomal RNA is filed under the name uncultured Burkholderiales bacterium. RNAcentral's name for it is "bacterial SSU rRNA". It matches the Rfam family "Bacterial small subunit ribosomal RNA", at positions 8 to 526 of the family's 1533-position model. Lineage: Bacteria; Pseudomonadati; Pseudomonadota; Betaproteobacteria; Burkholderiales. The record is from RNAcentral.